GGUGAAGCCCAGCUUGCUGGGUGGAUCAGUGGCGAACGGGUGAGUAACACGUGAGCAACCUGCCCUCCACUUCGGGAUAAGCCUUGGAAACGGGGUCUAAUACCGGAUAUGAGCUCGCAUCGCAUGGUGUGGGUUGGAAAGUUUUUCGGUGGGGGACGGGCUCGCGGCCUAUCAGCUUGUUGGUGGGGUGAUGGCCUACCAAGGCGUCGACGGGUAGCCGGCCUGAGAGGGCGACCGGCCACACUGGGACUGAGACACGGCCCAGACUCCUACGGGAGGCAGCAGUGGGGAAUAUUGCACAAUGGGCGCAAGCCUGAUGCAGCGACGCCGCGUGAGGGAUGACGGCCUUCGGGUUGUAAACCUCUUUCAGCAGGGAAGAAGCGCAAGUGACGGUACCUGCAGAAGAAGCGCCGGCUAACUACGUGCCAGCAGCCGCGGUAAUACGUAGGGCGCAAGCGUUGUCCGGAAUUAUUGGGCGUAAAGAGCUCGUAGGCGGUCUGUCGCGUCUGGUGUGAAAUCCCGAGGCUCAACCUCGGGCUUGCAUCGGGUACGGGCAGACUAGAGUGCGGUAGGGGAGACUGGAAUUCCUGGUGUAGCGGUGGAAUGCGCAGAUAUCAGGAGGAACACCGAUGGCGAAGGCAGGUCUCUGGGCCGCAACUGACGCUGAGGAGCGAAAGCAUGGGGAGCGAACAGGAUUAGAUACCCUGGUAGUCCAUGCCGUAAACGUUGGGCACUAGGUGUGGGGCUCAUUCCACGAGUUCCGUGCCGCAGCUAACGCAUUAAGUGCCCCGCCUGGGGAGUACGGCCGCAAGGCUAAAACUCAAAGGAAUUGACGGGGGCCCGCACAAGCGGCGGAGCAUGCGGAUUAAUUCGAUGCAACGCGAAGAACCUUACCAAGGCUUGACAUGUACGAGAAAGCCCCCGAGACGGGGUUCUCUUUGGACACUCGUACACAGGUGGUGCGUGGUUGUCGUCAGCUCGUGUCGUGAGAUGUUGGGUUAAGUCCCGCAACGAGCGCAACCCUCGUCCUAUGUUGCCAGCGGGUUAUGCCGGGGACUCAUGGGAGACUGCCGGGGUCAACUCGGAGGAAGGUGGGGAUGACGUCAAAUCAUCAUGCCCCUUAUGUCUUGGGCUUCACGCAUGCUACAAUGGCCGGUACAGAGGGCUGCGAUACCGUAAGGUGGAGCGAAUCCCAAAAAGCCGGU
RNAcentral lists this ribosomal RNA (1205 nucleotides) under uncultured bacterium. RNAcentral describes it as "bacterial SSU rRNA". It matches the Rfam family "Bacterial small subunit ribosomal RNA", at positions 68 to 1286 of the family's 1533-position model. The record is from RNAcentral.